Molecule: ribosomal RNA, 810 nt
Filed under: Nannizzia incurvata
Lineage: Eukaryota; Fungi; Ascomycota; Eurotiomycetes; Onygenales; Arthrodermataceae
Description: eukaryotic LSU rRNA
Rfam family: Eukaryotic large subunit ribosomal RNA
Source: RNAcentral
AACGGCGAGUGAAGCGGCAAGAGCUCAAAUUUGAAAUCUGGCCUCCUUCGGGGGUCCGAGUUGUAAUUUGUAGAGGAUGCUUCGGGUGUGGCCGCCGUCUAAGUUCCUUGGAACAGGACGUCAGAGAGGGUGAGAAUCCCGUCUUGGGCGGCUGGUCCGCGCCCGUGUGAAGCUCCUUCGACGAGUCGAGUUGUUUGGGAAUGCAGCUCUAAGCGGGUGGUAAAUUUCAUCUAAAGCUAAAUACUGGUCGGAGACCGAUAGCGCACAAGUAGAGUGAUCGAAAGGUUAAAAGCACCUUGAAAAGGGAGUUAAACAGCACGUGAAAUUGUUGAAAGGGAAGCGCUUGCGGCCAGACUCGGGGGCGGGGUUCAGCGGGUGCUCGUCGCCCGUGCACUCCCCGUCUCCCGGGCCAGCAUCAGUUUCGACGGCCGGUCAAAGGCCCCCGGAAUGUGUCGUCUCUCGGGACGUCUUAUAGCCGGGGGUGCAAUGCGGCCCGUUGGGACUGAGGAACGCGCUCCGGCUCGGAUGCUGGCGUAAUGGCCGUAAGCGGCCCGUCUUGAAACACGGACCAAGGAGUCUAACAUCCACGCGAGUGUUCGGGUGUCAAACCCGUGCGCGCAGUGAAAGCGAACGGAGGUGGGAGCCUUAGGGCGCACCAUCGACCGAUCCUGAAGUCUUCGGAUGGAUUUGAGUAGGAGCGUGGCCGUUGGGACCCGAAAGAUGGUGAACUAUGCCUGAAUAGGGUGAAGCCAGAGGAAACUCUGGUGGAGGCUCGCAGCGGUUCUGACGUGCAAAUCGAUCGUCAAAUUU